UGGAUUAUGUGGAUUAAUUCGAUGCAACGCGAAAACCUUACCUACCCUUGACAUGCUAGGAACUUGCCAGAGAUGGCUUGGUGCCCGAAAGGGAACCUAGACACAGGUGCUGCAUGGCUGUCGUCAGCUCGUGUCGUGAGAUGUUGGGUUAAGUCCCGCAACGAGCGCAACCCUUGUCAUUAAUUGCCAUCAUUCAGUUGGGCACUUUAAUGAGACUGCCGGUGACAAACCGGAGGAAGGUGGGGAUGACGUCAAGUCCUCAUGGCCCCUUAUGGGUAGGGCUUCACACGUAAUACAAUGGUCGGUACAGAGGGUUGCCAACCCGCGAGGGGGAGCCAAUCCCAGAAAACCGAUCGUAGUCCGGAUUGUAGUCUGCAACUCGACUGCAUGAAGUCGGAAUCGCUAGUAAUCGCGGAUCAGCAUGUCGCGGUGAAUACGUUCCCGGGCCUU
RNAcentral lists this ribosomal RNA (450 nucleotides) under uncultured prokaryote. RNAcentral describes it as "bacterial SSU rRNA". It matches the Rfam family "Bacterial small subunit ribosomal RNA", at positions 933 to 1382 of the family's 1533-position model. The record is from RNAcentral.